GGCAGCAUGGAAGCCUGAUGCAGCCAUGCCGCGUGUAUGAAGAAGGCCUUCGGGUUGUAGAAUUUUUCAGCGGGGAGGAAGGGAGUAUUGUUAAUACCUUUGCUCAUUGACGUUACCCGCAGAAGAAGCACCGGCUAUAAUCCGUGCCAGCAGCCGCGGUAAUUA
This 165-nucleotide ribosomal RNA is filed under the name uncultured bacterium. RNAcentral describes it as "partial 16S ribosomal RNA". It matches the Rfam family "Bacterial small subunit ribosomal RNA", at positions 365 to 525 of the family's 1533-position model. The record is from RNAcentral.